CUUGGACAUUUUUAAAACACAGUAGGCUUUUAAGAUUAAGCCAGAGUGAAUUAUUUGUAAAGGAAAUACCAUCUAUGUGGUGAAACAUCUUAAAUACCCUGCACCCUUUACUGAGCGAGUGGCUUGUUGAACUCGCUAUUGUUGUGAGAUCUGCCAGUAAUGUGCAGUGUGUGCCAAGUACUCAAAUUUUCACUUAUUGAAACAAUGAGAGAAUGACCUGUCAAGAAGGUUUAUGUAUUAUGUCAUUCAAUCAUUCAUCAUUUUAGGUAAGUAAUAUCCUUUCCAAGUUAGAGUUGGGAAAAUUGAGGUUCAGAAAGAUUAAAUAUAU
This 328-nucleotide long non-coding RNA is filed under the name Mustela putorius furo (domestic ferret). Its description in RNAcentral is "lncRNA (ENSMPUG00000024830.1)". The record is from RNAcentral. Lineage: Eukaryota; Metazoa; Chordata; Mammalia; Carnivora; Mustelidae.